AAACCACAUGGGCAGGAAUGAGCAAAUUGUCUUUGUAAUACAGGAAGAAGGCCUUGUUUGACUGCCACAGAUGGGACAUUUAGUGGAGUAAGAAGACUGGUGUGAGAACGGGGUGUUGGUGUUAAUGUUUGGAUUACGGUCCUAGAUGCUGAGAAUUCCUACAGUGGAAGGAGCUUUGGAAUAAGAAACUCGUGAUCUCACCCUUGCCUUGGCGCCCCCAUCAGCUGUGUGACCCUGGCACCCAUCAGAUAAGCAACCCGGGCUGUUGAGAGGACGAUGUUAACUGACCCCCAAGGCAGGACCAGGUGCUGAAGUCCUGCUCUUUCAAAGAUGAUGAACCAGAGAAUACUGUGUCACUGCUUGUUCCAUUCCUGUGCUGGUACUGGCAAGUGGGAAAGCUGGGAUUCAAAUCCAAGUCUGUGUCUCCAAAAGUCCAUGUUGAAGCUGUUCUUGUUGCUGAAUUUAAUGAACCUCUAACACAUGAUCCAAUGGAGAAAGUGAUCCAAUGGAAAGGAUCCAAUGGAGAAAGUGUCACUGAGCUGGGCCGCAGAGCUGGUUAUCAAGGGUAGUCUACGAAGUCAGAGGU
This is a long non-coding RNA of Homo sapiens (human), 586 nucleotides long. RefSeq lists it as uncharacterized. NCBI's taxonomy places the organism in Eukaryota, Metazoa, Chordata, Mammalia, Primates, Hominidae. The record is from RefSeq and is a predicted model, not a curated record. The transcript is spliced from 3 exons.